Long non-coding RNA from Mustela lutreola (European mink), 2565 nucleotides. RefSeq lists it as uncharacterized. The transcript is spliced from 3 exons. NCBI's taxonomy places the organism in Eukaryota, Metazoa, Chordata, Mammalia, Carnivora, Mustelidae. The record is from RefSeq and is a predicted model, not a curated record.
GCAAUGUUGCCAUAUGCAACUUUUUUUUUUUUCCAAAAGUUAUUUCCUGUUUGUUUAACAUCCUUAAACCAGACAGCAAGCUCAUUGAAUAGGCAAGGAAUUUACCUUUUGAUUGUUUUGAAUCUUUCAGUAACUACCUUGAGGCUCAGUCCUUCGCAGGCUUCCCUCGACUUCUUGCUUAUUGAUAGAUGCAAGGACAAUUUAGAGGUUGAAUAAAACUUUGAAACUAAAUAUCCUAAUAAUGGUAAACUUUUGGGGGGCGGCAUACGUAUUAUAUACUAUACUCGGUGUUCUCCAUGGUUUGUUAAUCUCAUUUAAUUCUUAUGCCAACACCGAGAUGGUGGUACCAUUAUUAUCCCAAUUUAUAGAUGAAGAAACAAGACUGAGACAGUGAGUGACUUGCCCAAGGUCACAUGGCUAGCAAGUCUGGGAGAUGGAUCUGGACAAGGGCAGUCUGACCUCAGGUCUCAUUAGCCUAGUUGCCUUGCCGUGGUAUCUCUCUCUUGGGGUGUGCUCUUCCUUAUCCCACACGGUACUAAAUGACUCUGCAGAUAAAGGAAAGUCACAGAGCAACUUUCCAAGCUUGCUUACUUAAGUCAAUGGCUUCCUCUCCUUUCCCUUAUCACGGGACAUCAGAGACGCUAACGAGGAGCUGCACGUCUGGGCUACGACCCCUGCUGCCGACUCCUGGGGCAGGUACCCAGCAGCAGUCAACGGAGAAGGUGGUAAGAGAAAUAAGAGAAGUAAGAGAAGGGGCUUGAAUGUCAGCAGACUGAGGGACCAGCUGCUGGUGGAUGCAGCCUGGGCGGGGUAAAUAAUAGGAAAAUGAUGCUGAUGAUGGCGACAAUGACAGCAACAGCCGCCAUGAGAUGUUGAUUUUACAACCCCAUGAAUUCAAGCUCUUUUGCAGAAAAAUAAGUGCUUCCUGCUUGUGACGUUGAGGAACUGCCACGGCUUCCUGUGGCUCAGACUCAAACCGAGCGUGGGGCCCUCCUUACCGUGUCGGAAAGGAACGCUCCGUGUAAACAGAAUGAGUCAAGCCAGAGUCGUUUCCCUGGUGAUCGGAGCGCAGCAAUCUUUCUAAAAAGCAAAUACCCAGCACACUCCGUGCAGAAAAUCAAUGAGCUCUGUCAGGCAUUCCAGCUUUAAUUAUCUGGGUUGUUGUCAACAGCAGAGUUCGGAGCGAAAACAAACAGCUGCCAUGCUGUUUUGGGGGCCUGCACCUCUAACUCCCUAGUGGUAAAAGACCGCUUUCUCGGAGUCAAGGACUCCAGGUUCCGAGGGUACCGGUGGAGAACCCGACAAUGUGAGGGUUGAACUUCUUCAGAAUGUCUUUUAAGAGGGGGAAGCAGACAGUACAGGAGCCCCAGCCGGCAGGGCAGGGAGCCUACCGCCAGGAAGGGGAGCCGGACGUCGCGGAAGAAGGGCUGAAGCACCACAGAGAAGUCCUCCCGGGUGUCAUAGCGGCCCGACUCCACCAGCUCCCGCAUGCUGCUCUGCAGACACACACAGGCUGCCCUCAGCACAGGCCCCGAGGCCCCCCGGGGCGGGGGUGGGGGUGGGAGGUGGGGGGGUGGGGGGGUGUUGGGAGGAGGCCAGGGUGUGGCGGCUGACACUCCUGCCCCCAUCUCCCUACCCAAGAGGGUGACUCAACCCUUCCCCGAGAACACAGACACAUGUGACGGCAAAUCUCUUUCCAGAGAAUUGGAAACAGGUUGGUUCACCUUUGGAUUUGCUGUCGAGUCAACUGCCAGCUCUGAAGGCCAAGGCAGGAAGUCCCACAAGGGGUAAGAAGCUGGGGAGAGUCUCCAGGGGGCCCCUGGGGGUUCAGGACCAGCCACCUCCCUAUUCAUGCCCCUGUGGCCUGUCUCUUGAGGAGGGGAGGAGGGGAGUCCCCGGGGUGCAGGGAGGGGGCAGGCCCACCCACCUAGCACUCAGAGCUACUGACCUCUUUAGGCCAAGCACGGGGCUAAGCCACAAGGGCAGGCGGGCCUGAGGGGCUUUGCCACCUGGAUUCCUCUGGGAUGACUCUAACAGAGCGGCCCGAGACACUUCCGCCAGGUGGGGCAGAGGAGGGGGCCCUGAGGGUGACAUCCCUCCAACCCGGACCAGCUCUUCCCUUCCCUGAGUGCAGGUGUGUUGACCGAGUGGGGGAGAGCGCUCCCCGUGGUGGUGCCCUUCUGGGUCUCACCUGGUAGGCUUGGCUGAUGGCCUCCAACCUGGCCAGCUCUUGGGAGCUCUCCCGAGGGGUCAGAACGCAGUUACAUAACACGCUGCACAAAGAGGGGGAGACGGGAGGGCCCAGCUCUGUGGGGUGGUUCUCUUGAGCCCUGGCUUAGGAGCACACGGGCCCUGGGGCUCUGAUGCUCAUUCUCAGGGACAGGUUUGAGGCCUGAUGCAGGGACUGGACAAAGUCCCUAGGGCGGGCGAGCGAGCAGCCUCUCAUAGCGAUAGAACACAAACACCGGACAGCAGGCACUGGGCCUGCGGCAAAGUAUACGGAACAAAUGAACUUAGGCAAUGAAAAUCUGAUGUUUAAUUUUUAAGAAUAAAAAGUAAAAUGCA